ACAUCAUUUACAGAGGAAGAGUACACCAAACUUAUGGAGAAACAAGAGCUGUUCUUGAUCAAACAAAGAAGCCAAAUUGAGGAAACCAAACGACAUAAGUGGUUUAGAGACUGCCAGGACUACCAAAAUGGAAAAGUCUACACAUGGGAUAAUCUUACAUAAUUAUCGAGAAGACAAUUUAGAAAAGAUACGGCCAAAACAUCUUUAGUGGAAGCUAAUCAAGACCACCAAGCAUCUGGGAACAACAAAGAAAGCACUGCGGUCCCUUUUUUAUCAAGUCCGCCAUCCGCAGGGGACGGCAAAGAAGGGGAGGUCGGAAACACUUUAGAAUCCGCAAGAACAAGAGCCGAGAGGAAUCCCAAACCUGCAAUACAAAAGACCCAAUUACAGAAGAAGAAAUAGACAGUACAGAGAACAGAACUGUGACUAUCUCCAUUUGGUCGACCAGUCACGAUAUGACUUUCCAAGGAUUAAUUCGGUUUACCUUUGCGGCCAUACAAGUUGCUUUCCUGCACUUCACUAGUAUCAAGCCGGGGACAUUUAAGAUGGCGAACGUGGACGCUCUGAGCAUGCGCAAGCUCUUUUCAUCAGUAGCUGGAGAGUGUAACUAUGGAUGCUAUGCAAAACGGAAGUGAGGCAUAUGUCACCGGAAACAGACGCAUUAUGUUUACAAGGCCGCCCACGGCCUCCCACGCUGGAGACGGCAGGAUGUAUUGGAAAGGAAUCGUGACUGGAAACCCCUGGAGAUGAAUAACACAAGCACUUGCUCUUUUCACUGAGGUGGGAUGUAUAUACCACAUAUUACGAAUCGGAUACUUGAAAGCACUGAUAAUGUAUAUAUAAUUAUGUACAUAUGCUAUUUUAUGAUAAUAUGUACUUUAUUCAUGUAUUUUGUACUUUGAUUGAUUUGUUUAUAUAUGUAAAUUCACUGUUGAUGAUGUCAUUCUA
Molecule: long non-coding RNA, 948 nt
Organism: Hyla sarda
Lineage: Eukaryota; Metazoa; Chordata; Amphibia; Anura; Hylidae
Exons: 3
Source: RefSeq, a predicted model, not a curated record